GCCAGGCAUGGGGGUGCGUGCCUGUAGUCCCAGCUACUCAGGAGGAUAAGGCUGGAGGAUCGCUUGAGUCUAGGAGUUCUGGACUGUAGUGUGCUAUGCUGAUCAGGUGCCCACACUAAGUUCAGCAUCAGUAUGGUGACCUCCCGGGAGCAGGGGACCGACCACCAAGUUGCCUAAGGAGGGGUGAACUGGCCCAGGUUGGAAACGGAACAGGUCAAAACUCCCAUGCUGAGCAUUAGUGGGAUCUCAUGCCUGUGAAUAGCCACUGUACUCCAGCCUGGGCAACGUAGCAAGUCCCCAUCUUAA
This is an unclassified non-coding RNA of Callithrix jacchus (white-tufted-ear marmoset), 306 nucleotides long. It matches the Rfam family "Metazoan signal recognition particle RNA". From Rfam's summary of the family: The signal recognition particle (SRP) is a universally conserved ribonucleoprotein. It is involved in the co-translational targeting of proteins to membranes. The eukaryotic SRP consists of a 300-nucleotide 7S RNA and six proteins: SRPs 72, 68, 54, 19, 14, and 9. The record is from Ensembl. NCBI's taxonomy places the organism in Eukaryota, Metazoa, Chordata, Mammalia, Primates, Cebidae.